Long non-coding RNA from Polyodon spathula (Mississippi paddlefish), 1712 nucleotides. RefSeq lists it as uncharacterized. The transcript is spliced from 4 exons. The record is from RefSeq and is a predicted model, not a curated record. NCBI's taxonomy places the organism in Eukaryota, Metazoa, Chordata, Actinopteri, Acipenseriformes, Polyodontidae.
GCGACCUACAAGGGACGAGAGGAAACGAUUUGAAACUUUUGAAAUUCUCUUGCUAGAAUUGCUUUGACUAGGGAAAGAAUGCGCUCGCAAUGUUCUGUACAGGUUUAAAUAUAUAAACAGCUGAGACCCAAAAACAGGACUGGCUCUAGCCUCGGGUGCAGGAAUAGAAGAUUGAUUCAGAGUGAUUUAGGAAAAGCGUUUCCAGAAUCUGGAAUUUUGAUGACCAGCUGUGGAAAGGGGAGCCCCUGGAGAGAAGCAGCCACGGAAGUACAGGCACUGACCAGAGAAGGCUUUUAAGACGAAGGGCAGUGUUACUAUGUUUUAAAAAUUGUUCUGCUUAAAAACAACGCCAUGGCAACAGCCUCUCCCAAGUUAUCGGGAUAAUUUUCCUUUGUUGAAAAUUCAAAAUUAACGACAGCAGCUGUUGUAAAAGCGAAAAGAGAAAGGGCAAGCAGUGGGAUGGCACGGAGUGAUUUGCACGGGCACGCACACGGGGGAUGUGAGCAGGACACCGCUGCAGGGACGCUUUGAAGACGCGGGAGGCCUGGGUACAGCGAUGCUGGGGCUGUUUGCGAAGAGGGAAGGCGCGAAUGCAGGUCAAAGCCAGUGUUUGAAACAGAAAGGGACAGCCUUGGAACCCUGGCAGGGCUGCUAUCACCAGAAGGAGAAGCAGUAACCAUGGCAACCUCAUGGGGCCUAGCGCUGGGAUCAAAGCUUUCUGUCAAGUGAUCCCCGGAGACCGCUUCUGAAGAUGUUUACAGCUGCUUUUCUGUCAUAAACAGCUCGGCAGACAUCUGGUUGAAAUGCAGUACUGUGCCUGACGGUUUUGUUCUUGUAUCUCUUUCAGAAGGCGUUUCAUAUCUACUGCUAUUGGACAGCAACGUCAACAACACGCCUCUGUGAAUAUUAGAAGCCAUUUUCCAUAUUAAAAACAAAUGUAAUUAAUUGCAGAGAGACUGGAAGGGGGAAGCAGUUUGGCCUGUUGAUUAGAGCUGAGACUGGGAGGGAAGCAGUGUGGCUUAGCGGUGAGAGAUGUGUGCCAGGUGCUGAAGCAAUCGCUUGUGAGAUGACGACAAUCACAAGUGAUAGGAAGUUGCACAGUCUGGGCUGUGCUGCGUUGCACACAGACACUCUCUCUUCCUCUCUUUUGGUUUGAGACACAGACUGGCAGAGCAGCAACUGAAUCCAUACUGUGGACUGCAGCAUGGCUCUGAGGGUCGUAGCGUGGGCUGUGCUUCUACACGUGGUCUUCCUGCAAGGCACCUGGGCCAAGAUCAUACCAAGGAUAACGUUCUCCAACAGUGAGUAUUGCCUUUAAGUUAAAAAAAAAUAAAAAAAAUAAGCACAAUAAAGUGAUGCAUAGAACUGUGGUUAUCAUUCAGGCACUGUGUCCUAAAGAUAGGUUGCUUGACUAAAGUUUCAUUCUGACAUUGAGAGAGAGGCGGAAGGUUUGGAUAGGUCCGAUGGACCAUGGCACGGCGAGUCUGGGUAGAGAUCAGAGUAGAGUUUGGAGUGCUUGGUCAUCCAUUCGGAAGUACAGAAAGGAAAGUUGACAAACGUUGGGAAUUCCAGGCAGAUUAUGGGAAAUCUUCGUGCAGUACGGUUAAAACCAAGAUACUGUUGUAAAAACAAAUUGGAGUUGUGUAGAUACUGUUUACAGCCGCCCCCCUGAGUGGAAUAACCAUGGCACCCUGCAGACGUUCAUGGAGAAU